AGGAGCUGUCAGCACAGAGCCCAAUGCAGGGCUUGAACUCAAGAUCUGCAAGUUCAUGACCCUGAGCGAAGUUGGAUGCUCAACUGACUGAGCCACCCAGGCACCCCGGAAUCUUGGAAGGUUUUAUGAACAGCAUAAGACUUAAACUGGGGCUUGAAAAAAAGUACAAAUACACUUUAGGAAAAUUAAUCUGACAUUAUUUAUUUAGUGGUGGUAGGAACUAAGGAUAAGAAGGCUAACAAGAAUCCAGGUGUGAAUAUCUGAUUUAUAGCAGAAGGAAUAGGAAAGCAGAAUAAAGAUCAUUCAGAAAUAAUGGUUAAGAAAGACGGUGGGGCAGACAGCAUAUCAUGGGCUGCACUGUGACAGUGGUUGGUGAAGUGAAAGGAUGGCAAGUGUAAGGAGACCCAGGAAAACACAGGACUGCUAGGUAAUAAAGUGGAUGGUCCAGUCUGUAAAACUGUGUACAUGUAACACUUGUUGCUUACCAGCUAGUGGUGAGGCUACAGAACGUACUGGUCACUCUGAAAAUGGCAGUCACUUCACCUUAAAGGUCCAGUGGCGAAUCAGUGUAUCUCAGGAGGUUCACUAUUUGCCUUCAUGAAGGAUAAUAUACGUUAAUAAAAUGUAUGCUUUUAUGCAUUCUUUACAUUAUUUUUAUUUUGGAAACCCAAAUAGUAAUAGAAACAUUUUAGUUACAGUGUGCUAUAAUUAUAUUCCUAUAAACACUACAUUUUAAAUUAUAAUUAUAUAUAUAUAUAUAUAUAUUAUAAUUCUAUUCCUGUAAAUAUUACCUUUUAAAAAAUAGCUCACUGGGGGCGCCUGGGUGGCUCAGUCAGUUAAGUGUCCAGCUUCUGCUCAGGUCAUGAUCUCAUGAUUUGUGAAUUCCAGCCCUGCACUGUGCUGUGCUGACAGCUCAGAGCCUGGAGCCUGCUUGGGAUUCUGUGUCUCUCCCCCCACUCCUGCCCCUCUCCCAAUUGCAUGCUGUCUCUUACAAAAGUAAAUAAACAUGAAAAAAAAAAUAGUUCUCAAUGUAACAGAGCUUAAGGAAAGCGUAGAUCUGGGAAGGACCACUCAAAACUUGACCUGAUGAGUAAUAGUUCCCUGACUGCUCUCACUGAAAUCACCUGGGGAUCUUUGAAAACUGAUGCCCGGGAACCACCCCCAGACAUUCCGAAUUAAAUGGAAUAAAGGGAGAGUCUGGGCAUCCAGCCUCUCCCAAAAGCUCCCCAGGUGACUGCAACAUGAAGCAAAGUUUGGGAACUACUGAACUGCAGCAUUAACAGGGACAAUUCCUAACAAAUAAAAGCCGUGGUUACUUAUUUACCUUUUAAAAGAAUUGAAGUUAGCUUGAAAAAUGAGUUUGUGGAAAAGUUGAUACUGCUGAGUGAUUGAAACAUGAGCAGGCAGUAGUUAUCAUCAGAGGUUGCAGGUAGAGAAGCAGUUGCAAACUUUGCACAAAAUGUAGCAAUGCCAGAGAUGGAUAGCUCUGAUUCAUGUCCUCUGUGGCUUUUGCACAAAGAUCUAAGAGAACUGCAAACUAAGCACUAUCAAAAUGGAAAACAGGGUUGAGCUAAGCCAAAGGAAGAAUGGGAUGCCACACAAUGAAAGAUGUCAUUUGGGUACUGUCUUCCUCCAGGCCUGGCGUGAUCAUGGUGGAGUCAGCUGCGUACUUUGCAUUCAGCUGUUGUUUCUUGGUAGCACAAGACAUAAAGUGCUAGGAAAAAUUAAGUAUGAACCAACCCGCCUUCUGUGUCAUUCUAACAUUUCCCCCCUAUUUAAUAAUCACAUGAGCUGAUUUGCAUUAUACAAAACAGCGCUAUAGCACAACAGACUGUUACUAUUCCACUGAGAAUAUGGGCUUUAAAUGUGGUUAAUCUGCCCCUAUUCUCCCCUCCUGUGCUUCAUCCUCCCUUUAGGUAGCAGGUAGCUUUUUGGGUAGGAAGGUCUACAGCCUCUGACUCUGUCCUAAGAGGAUGUUUGAAUUUGUACAGCGUGGGGUGACUUUAUUUAAAUAGCAAGUAAAGAGUAGGACUAAUCUAAAUGGAACACGCAUGCCUGAGCCAUUUAAUAUCUUUUUUUUUUUGUAUAAAUUGCCAUCUAUGUGUUAUCACCAUCACAAAACAAGUUAAGAAACAUUAUUUUAAGUUGAAUGCAUCCACUUGCAUUUUUACUUUUGCUAAUAUUUAAAGCUUAGUGUCUUUAGUGGCUUGGAUUGCAGUAUAGGUAAAAUUAUAUUUUCCUUUUCACUGGGAUUUGGCAUGACAAAAUUGAAAAAUCAUAUUGAAGGCAGACAUUACUUUGACUUAGGUGUCUAUAAUCUUUCACCUGAACUCAUUCCUGAAUGGCAUAAUCCACACUGAAGGAAUAGAUUGAUGUAGAUUUGUUGUGACAUUAUAUUGCAAGAAAGAGCAAAUUUAGAGGCUCCUGGCUGGCUCAGUCUAUAGAGCAUGCCACUCUUGAUCUUGGGGUUGUGAGUUUGAGCUACAUGUUGGGUGAACAGAUUACUUAAAAAAAUCUUAAAAAAAAAAGAGCGAUCAAAUUUGAUGUAUUGGUAUCCUUGAGGAAAAAUACUGAAGUUAGGCUAUGAGGGAAGAAUAAUACGAGAAAGUACAGAAGAUAAAUGGAGUGGUAGAGGGAAGUAUUUGAAUUAUAUUGACAAAAACUAAGCAUGAGUAACCUUCAGUUACUUUUGGGAAGCAAAUGCUGAAAUUACGUUAAAAUAUGUAUUGGGUAGUUAAGCCACACUUAACUGGGUGGCUCAAUUAAGUGUCCAACUUUGGUUUCAGCUCAGGUCAUGAUCUCAUGUUUUGGGAGUUUGAGCUCUGCACUGACAGUGUGGGGCCUGCCUGGGAUGCUCUCUCUCCCUCUCUCUCUCUGCACUUCCCAUGCUCGUGUUCUCUCUCUCUCACUUGCUCUCUUUCUCAAAAAUAAAUAAAUAUAUUUUAAAAAUAUGUAUUGGGUAGAGGGGUGCCUGGGUUGUUCAGUUGAUUAAGCAUCCAUCUUUGGCUCAGGGCAUGAUCUUGUGGUUUGUUGGUUCAAGUGCUGUGUCAGGCUCUGUGCAGACAGCUCAGAGCCUGGAGCCUACUUCAGAUUCUGUGUCUCCCUCUCUCUCUCUGCCCUCCCCCAUUUGCGUUCUGUCUCUCUCUCUCUCUCUCUCUUUCAAAAAUAAAUAAACAUUAAAAAUUUGUUUUAAAAAAUAUGUAUUGCCGGGGCACCUUGGUAGUUCCAUUGGUUAAGCAUCCGACUUCAGUUCAGGUCAUGAUUGAUUUGUGAGUUCAAACCCCGUGUCAGGCUCUGUGCUGACAGUGCAGGCCUGGAACCUGCUCUGGAUUCUCUAUCUCCCUCUCUCUCUCUGCUCCUCUCCCACUCAGGCUUUGUCUCUCUCUCUCAAAAAUAAAUAAACAGUAAAAAAAUUUAAUACAAAAAAUACGUAUUGUGUAAAAAAAUGAAAAAAGAAAUCACUGCUUUCUUACUGUUUUUGAAAAGUUCUCAUUAUUUUUUAUAUCUAAGCUAUAUUACUCUCCCACCACCCCCCCCCCCCACCUUUUUUUCAGAGCAUGGAUCUAGAUUUUUAGAGCUGGAAAGAAAUUUAGUAAUUUCCAAGUCCAUGGUUCUCAUCUUAUGGAUAAGGAAAUUGUCCCAAAGAAGUUCAGUGACUCUCUCGGGUUACAUAGCAAGGCUUACAGAGCGCUUUCUAGAUUCUAGACCAGUAACUUGACAAUAAUUAGUAAUAAGUUGUUUUACUCGCAAGACAAGAUUUGAGUCUGUAUGUAUAAAUGAUCAGCAUAUAUCCAUAAAUAUGUCAUUGUCUGCCUUUGUAUGUAGACUUUUUUAAAGAUCAGAAGGAACAGAUAUCCAAGAGUACUCAAAGGCAGUCUGACAUUUUUGAGAUAUCAAUACCACUGGGAAGGCUAGGAAAAACAAAUAGGAUGUUGUGUUAGGCAGAAAAAAACCCCACUCUACCCCAAAAGAUGUCCACCUCCUAAUUUCUGAAACAUGUGAUAAUGUUACCUUGUAUGACAAAAGAGUCUUUUCAGAUGUGAGUAAGGUUAAGGACCUUGAGAUGAGGAGACUAUCCUGGAUUAUCCAGGUGGGCCCACUCUAAUCACUUGAGUCCUUAAAAGUGGAAGAUGGAGGGAAGGGAGUGGAUCUGAGAGAUGUAUGCAAGGACUGGUUCCACUGCUCAUGGUUUUGAAGUUGGAGAAAGGGGGCCAUGAACCAAGGAAUAUGGUCAUCUUUAGCUGGGCACAGCCCUUAGUUUACAACCAACAGGAAAACAGGGACCUUGGUCCCACAAAGGCAAGAAACUGAAAUCUGCCAACAGGCCUGGUGGGAAGGAAAUGGAUUCUCCCUCAGAGCCUCCAGCAGGGAACACAUUCUGCCAACACCUUGAUUCAGUCCAGUCAGAUAUCUCCAUACCAGACUUCUGACCUAUAGGUCUGUGAGACGAUAGUUCUGUUGUUUAAGUCACUAAGUUUGUGAUAAUUGUUAUAUCAGCAACAGAUACUAAGGGAGAUAUGCAGUGUCUUAAUUUAUUAUCUUCCUGGAUUUUGACUAAACAAAGUUAUUAGGAAAAAUCAGCUGUACUACACCUUAGAGAUUUAGAGCAUAUUUGAUUUUGGAGCACUUAUAAACAACUUAGGUACUGUUGUUCAUGGCCAUCUUUCUCUGUCGUACGAAGUCCUUUUAAAUUCUAAACUUCUCUCCAGAAUUUCCUCCAUAGUGGAAUUAAGUAAAACAUGGGUUUCUUCAACCCAAAUUACUAUUUACUCAUGUGCGUAUUUCUGACUCAUCAUACUGUCAUUAUCAUAAGGUGGAGGGCGAGGAGUGGUACAUACUCAACCUUUACUUCUCGAUCAGGCAGUCACAGUCUUCUCAGCUUUCCAUCUCUCCUGUGAACAUGUUCCAUGGUUUUAGUUUCUUUGGGUUUUGUCUUGCCCAAAGUCAUUUUGUUAGUAAAUCACAGAGCCAGUUUUGGAACCUAGGCAGUCAAGCUCCACUGUACUACACUGCAGUUUUAAUGUUGUCUAAAGGAAAUGCCCAAUAGAAUGAAGAAACAUGAUAAAAACAAAAGGUCAUUUAAGGUUAAUGGCCCAGAUGUGGGCACUUGUGACUCUUCCUUCAAAUUUCUGGUUAGGACACUUCAAAAAAAUUAUUCAACAGUAAGUUCCUCUGCUGCAUUAAUUAUAUAUAUUUUUCUAUAUUCAUCUGUUUGUAUUCAAUUCAUCUGUAUUAUUACUAUUAAACUUUUCUAACAGUGGCUGGCAAACUAUAGCUCUCAGACCAAAUAUUUUUGUUAAUGAAGUUUUAUGGAACAGCCACACCUACUGAUUUAUAUGUCUAUAGCUGUUCUUCAGAGACAAUGACAAAGUUGAGUGGUUGUGAAAGAGACCAUAUGGCCCACAGAGCCCUAAAAUAUUUGCUGUCUGUCUCUUUUGCAGAAAGUUUGCAGAUCUCUGUUCUCUAAUGUCAACAAAUGAGAUAUUUAAAGUUUUUAUGUCAAUAUUACCAAAUUGUCCUUUUACAAAAUUUGCACACUUCCCAGCAGGAAUAUGAGAUGAUUCAUCAUCCUACCCAGUCUUAGGUAUCACCAUGAUGCCCAUUUUGACCAACUUUAAGAUAUGGUUCCUCCAUUUUUCUGAAUUUAAUAAUUUGUACCAUGAAUAACAAGAAACAAACAAAACUCAGGUUAGACUUCAGAGGUAUGUGUGCGUUUUUUCUUCCAUUUCUCCCUUCCUUCCUAUUGUUGGAGUUUCAGGCCAGAAUUGUAAAACAUUUUCCAAGUCAUUACCCCGUGUGAUGACAAAGCAUGUAAUGGGAUUUUUCAUGCAUAAGAAAUAGAAAAUAAUAGAAAAUAAAGAAUGACCUUUAUUUUUAACAUAUGUAUUAGAAACUGAAUUAAAAACCACACACACAUCAUAAUACAGUGGAUUAAAGGAAAUUAUCAGCAGAGAGGUUUUUUUUUUUUUUUUUUGGAAACAAAAAGUGGUAAUUCAAAUUAAACACAACUCUGCAUUAGGGAUAUUAUUUGUGAUUUUAUUUUGUUUUGUUUUGUUUUUUCGCUAUUCAACAUCAGAAGGUGUUAGAUAGAGCUCAGUAUAUCAGGUACUUUUUUUUUUUUUUCCUGGUCUUUGAUUCAGCAAGAGAGCCUGAGUCCCUGCUUAUAACCACCUCACACUUUGAAUUGGGAUCUACAGAGAAUGCACUCUUGAGAUCACAUCAGUUGCAGCAGGAGCAAGUUCAUAAAGGAGCUAUACCAUUGAUGCUACUGGUAGCAUCAGCUUCCGUCUGUAAUGUUUGGCAGUGGUGUCCGGAUUCUAACUGACCCAGCUUUGCUGUGUCCUUAGGACGUGCUGCAAGGCUAUGGAAUUUCCAACUCUUUCUCCAGCCUGUCUCACAAUUAUGUUGCUACUGAAUAUCCUUUAAUAACCCUUUGCUGCUUAAACCAGCUUAUGCUGAUUUCUGGUUUCAAGCUGACAAGAAUUCUGACUGUUGAAAUGUUCUGGAAGUGUAGUCUUAGCAGUGAGCUACCGAGACCUUCAAACAUUCUUUUGCUUAUUUCUACCUUUCUUUUAAGGUUAUUUAAUUAUUUAUUUAUUUUACUAAUCUUUACACCCAACAUGGGGCUCGAACCCAUGACCCCAAGAUUAAGAGUCACAUACUCCACCAACUGAGCCAGCCAGGUGCCCCUUUUCUACAUUUUUUUAAACUAAAAAAAUUUAAAACCUGUUUAUAGGAGCUUACUUUAAAACUCUAAAUUUUUGUAUCAUGUUUAUUAAUUACAAACAAUGUUAUUUCUGCCACAUGGUAUUUUGUGUUUAUGCUUUAAAUAUAUUUUCUUAUAAACUUUUUAAGUUUAUUUUGAGAGAGACAGAGAGGGUGGGGGAGGGGCAGAGAGAGAAUCCUAAGCAGGCUCCAUACUGUCAGCACAGAGCCUGAUGUGGGGCUUGAACCCACGAAACGUGAGAUCAUGACCUGAGCCAAAACCAAGAAUCAGUCGCUCAACCAACUGAGCCACCCAGUGCCCCUAAAUAUAUUUUCAUUAAAACCUUGGUGCUGCAGAUUUGACUUGUAAGUUUACAGCAAAGCCCAUUACCAGACCCAUCAGCUGACUUUCUUUUCAAUUUAAAUAAAUAUGUUACCAUGAAUUCUGUGAGAACUGAACAUCCCUGCAGUAUGGAUAUGUUGUGGAUCUAAAGUCCUGGUCACUCCACCUGGGCCAAUUUUAUGUCCUUCUAGCUCAAUUUCUGGAUACAUAGGUAUAUAAUAACCAUUUUCCAGUUCUCUCAAAACUAUUUCAGUGUGCUCCAGUCACUUUCAGUUGUUGAUAUGUGCAUUUCUGUGUUUGAGGGCUUUUUCUGGAACCCUGUCUGUAUGGUGGUAGGUUGGAAAUGCUAAGAACUUAGCAACCCCAGGAACCAGUCUUCAGUCCAUGACUGACAAAGUGGGUUUCUAAUACCUCAGCCCCUUCAUCAAGUUGGGAUAAUUCAGUUGGUAUAUCUCCUGUCAUUCAAUACAGUAGCUGGAUUAAUAGCGCACCUUUCAUUGGCUGCCUUCCUUUCCUUGUAAUGCUUUUCUAUUCCCUUAUUGGGGAUAGAAGUAGUUUAUUCCCUAAAUAAACUACUUGCACUUGAAUUCAUGCCUCAGGGUCUGCAUUUGGGAGAACCCAAACUGAAAUCAUGAAUACUUCUUCCUUUCAAAGGGGUCUAUAUCUUCCUUGAGCUUGAGAAUAGCUGUAGCCUAACCAUAGUGCUUGUCAUCAUCUGAUUCCACCUGAUCCCAUCUGAUCGUCUUUUAGAUGAUGCAAAGGACAGGAUGGUCUUCUAUGCAGGCAUCUUUAAAUAUCCCUAGGUAAACAAUCACUACUGUCACCAAAGUUGGUCUGAAGUGGGAAGUUUACUCAAAAAUGAAAUAUCUGUGUAUGGUUCCUUAACUGGGUAGCUGCAUUGAAACCUCAGGCUCAGUGCUGUAUUAAGAAAUGAGUGCAGAUGGGGUGCCUGGGUGGCUCAUUCCGUUAAGCGUCCAACUUCAGUUCAGGUCAUGCUCUUGCGGUUCACAAGUUCAAGUCCCAUGUCGGGCUCUGUGCUGACAGCUUGGAGCCUGGAGCCUGCUUCAUAUUCUGUGUCUCCCUCUCUCUCUCCCCUCCCCCACUUGUGCUGUGUCUCUCUCUCUCUCUCAAAACGUUAAAAACAUUAAAAAAUAUAAAAACAUUAAAAAAGAAAUAAGUGCAGUAAUUACUCAAUUAUCUGACAAUGGCUUAGGAAAAAUUUAUGGUAUUAGACUCUUGACUCUUGAUGAAGGGAUAUCCCUCAUCAAGCCUGAAAUGGAAAAAGAAAAAAAAAAAAGGCAGAGAGUGAGUCCACAGUUCAGAGCUGCUCUCUUGCUCAUUCCUUCCUUGGGGAGAGUGAUAUUCCCAAAGCCUGGAUAUGCCUCCUGAUUGCCAGUGACUAGUCUCUGUCCUAAUCUCAUGUAUACCUUUUACUUCUCUUGCUUACUGGUUCAAAAGCAAACCAAAGUGAAAGUACCAUUGAAGAGAGCCCAGGUGGCCAGUCAGUUGAGCAUCCAACUCUUGAUUUUGGCUCAGGUCAUGGUCACAGGGUCAGAAGAUUGAGUCCCUUGUCAGGCUCCAUGCUGAGCAAGGAGCCUGCUUAAGAUUCUCUCUCUCUCUGCCCCUUUCUCUCUCUCUCUCUCUCUCUCUCUCUCUCUCUCAUAAAUAAAAAAAUAAAAUUAAAAUAAGACAGUAAAAAAACAAAAACAGUGAAAGCACCAUUAAGUGAAUCCGAGUGGCCAUUCUGACCCAUCCCCAAACUCUGGCCAGCGUGCAGUCUGACCAUAGGUAGAGUGCUACCAGUAAGCCUGGGUAUCUCCCAAACAUUGGGCUCUUCAGGUAAACAUUUGACAAAUCUAAGCUCACCUUCCUCUUCAACACCACAGUGAACUAGUUAUGACAUUGAGAAGCCUGAGCCAAACUUGCAGUUUGGUGAUUUAGGUGGUAGAGAUGAAGGUUUGAGCCACCUGUGCCUCUUUCCUGAAAUAACUGGGUGUGAGAUGUUGAGUUUGCAAAAGGCUUCUCAGGUUUUUGUUGGGAUGGUGACAGUGAUGAGACUGGCCUUGUUAUAUUCCCUCUCUGAGUCCUGGUAUCUCUUUACAGACCUUUCCAUUUAGAAGAAUGUCUUAGGACAGAGUCUCCACAAGCACAACUUGAAGGAAGGAUUUAUUUAUAUGUCAAUGGUUUACUAAGGAAGUGUUCCUAAGAGAAAUCCGUAAGGAAGCGAGGAAAGCAGGAGAAGAAGUGGACCCAAGCACAGGAUAUGAUGGCUUCAGUAUUUCUGAAGACACAGAAUUUCCAUUAAUCAUUCAGCAGAGAGGAGCUAUUAUGAAGUUCCAAGAACAAGGACAGAAUAUCAGGGCAGCUCACAUCCCAGCAAUCCACCAGUCUUGGAGAGACUGAAUGAGGAGGCAUCCAGAUGUGUCCUGGGUGCAGACCUAAGAUGACCUGCCUAAAGCUAUAGCUAAUAAGAAGUAGUUGCUUGAAAGCUGGUGGGAAGUUUCAUUGUUUGCUCUCCUCUCUAGGAGACCAAAGAGAGGUGAAGUCUUUCCUGAUCACAGAUGAUUGAAGCUGGGUGAAACACUCAGUCAAAUUAGAGUUUCAGUUUCAAGAAUGGAUUCUCCAUGUCUCAGGGAUUUUAAAUCUUGAGGAGAUGAUCUUACCUCAUGACAGCCAGUCCAGUGUUUUUGCCACCUGACCAAACUUCCAGAAGGACCUUGAUAACCAGCUUGAUGGUCAGAUUGUCCAUUUCGAUGACUUUGUCGGUAUAGAGUUUCUCCAGAAGUUCACACAAUGACUUGGCACCCUGGCUUGUGACAUCAUUGGCCUUCCAGAUGCAGAGACCUUCCGUGAGUCUGACGACCUGCUUUCACUUCAGGGGAAGCGAGCUGAAAACACCUGCAAAGGGCACAGGAGGAAAGCAAAAAGACCUCUGAGUAACCAGCCUGAAUUCUACACUGCAGCAAAGCUUGUGUAUUUUUUUAAAAAAAUCAGUUUUUCCAGCUGUUGAAUGACUUCAGGAAGCGUUCCCAAGGCCCCAUCUGAUGCAAAGUCCUCCACUGUGCUUCACCACUGCUUGUCUUUACCCUGAUCCCAGCACAAUGGCUCUGCUUGUUGUCUGGUUUGCCACGUCUGUUGUUAAUUUAAACCAUCAGGAGGUCAGGGACGACUCUAUUUUGUUUGAAUGGCAUGCGUUCACCGGAAAAUAAUCUUCUCUCCAAUGUAGAAUCCCGAGCAUGAGAAUUCUCAAGACACACUAGGUCAAGAGUGAGAGGAAAGUACAAAAUAUAUGUUCACUGUCUUAUAUGGCGUUUCUUCUUGUGAACAUAUGGGUAUAAUCGUAGCUCAAUAAAAGAUGUGCUCCAAUUAUCUCUCUUUGGUCCUCCCUUUGAAAUACUCCCUAAUUGGUAACACAUUUGCUUAGCCACUCUACUAGGUAGUUACUACUUAAAAACUGGAGAAUUUUUAAGAGUUUAGCAGAACAUCUGGGAGCUGUGAAAACUGAUUUUGGCUGAACUUCUCUUUGUUUUUUUCCAGUGUUUGGUUUUUUUUUUUUUUUUUUUUUCCUAUACAAUUACACUUGCAUCCAACUUCUGUCAAACCUGGUUGUUCGGGAAUUUUAGCCGUAGUACUCUUAUUCCUCACAGAACCCUAGAAACCUGAGCAUUGAUCUUUCCUCCUUGUCUCCAGCCCAUAUCUGAGUCUGGCAUUUAUUAUUUUCUUCAGCUGUAACAUUUUAAUCCAUUCAUAACUUUGCUUAUAUCUCUGACUUGGAGAUCUUGGGCCAUCUUUUAAUUUAUUCUUUUAUGCACUCGUUCAUUCACGUGUUCAACAAAUAUUUACUGAGUUGCCUUGGCACCACUAGAGAUAAAAGAUGAAUAAUGGUUCCUGCCCUCAAAAACUUUACUAUGGGGAAAUAGUCAAACAAUCCAUUAAAAUACAACAACAUAAAUGCUAUUUAUUCAUUCAGGUAGUCUCUGGGUUCCUACUCUGUCCCAGCACUGUGCAAGGCAGAUGUUACAAAUAGAUUGCCAUAUAGGAGGAAUACCUAAUGGGGGAAGGGGAAGUCUUCCAGAAGAGAUGAUCCCAAGUUUGGUCCU
Molecule: long non-coding RNA, 11148 nt
Organism: Acinonyx jubatus (cheetah)
Lineage: Eukaryota; Metazoa; Chordata; Mammalia; Carnivora; Felidae
Exons: 7
Source: RefSeq, a predicted model, not a curated record